UUUGGCACUUGGUAUCAUUACUUCCCCUGACACUGGCCCCGCCUCCCAGCCCUGGGCUGCUGGGACAGAUUGUUUCUGUUUCCUGCUCUAACACAGGGGCCCCGUGGGGAAGGAGGAGCCACCCUACCUGGAGACUGAAGUGUCUCUGUCCCAGACCCAGAGGGAUCUCACUGGUUUUAGACACCCGGACAGCCCUUCCUCGAUGAAGCCUCAGCCCACUGAAUGAAUGACAACCUUGGCUGCACCUGCGUGUCACACGUGGCUGUCUCCAUUGUGGCUCAUGACACCAGUCACUUUCUCCAUCACCUUGCAAGUUUCUGAAGCCCGAGACCCGGGCCUCUUGGACCUCUUCCCAGAGCUUCCCAGGAUACCUACUCCAAAGCUAUCCUUCCCUUCUCGGAGCUCUCAUCUCACCUUGCACAGGCUCUGUCCAAACAGCGUCCUGGGCCAUUGCGCAGGGAGAAGAGAAAUUCUGGCCUGGAUCUUCUGGGGAGCCAGAUCCCCAGGUCUUUCAAUGUUCCAGAAUUGCAGAAAUGCUGGAAGGAACCUCCUGGAUCACCUACUCAUGAAAGAACUCAGGCAACGGAAGGCCGGGGAGAGGAAGGCCACGCCAAAGCCCAGCCCCAAUGAGAAGACCGAGGCAUGCAGAUAAUUAAAGAAAAAAACAAGCAAAAACCUUGCCCAGGUUACACAAUGAGUGAGCACUGGAGGAGAACUCAAAUGCUGGCUGCCUGACUGCACGGGGCUUGCUGGUAACUCUUUGCUGGAGCAGUAAAGGCUCCAGUAGGGUCAGGGAGUCCUGGGAGCUCGGAGGUGGGCAGCUGACGCGGCCCGCGUGGGACGGGAAGGCGCAGCUCGGCAGCUUCUCCACACUCACCACUGAGUCUGUUCACCCUCCCCUGCUCGUGGGCGACUCAUGUUUUCUCACGAUCUCCUCUCCUCAAACCCCACCCCGCCCUCCCCGUCCUCACUCUCAGUUGUUGACCUUGUUUCCCACUCCCUGAAGACAAUCCCAUCUCUCAGAAGUACUUCCAGAUUUGCACGGGCACAUCCACUCCCCCCGCCCAGCCUCUGCACCCACACACUCUGCCUCCCCAAGUCCUAGGAGAGAUGACAGCCCAGGCCUGCCCUCGCCCACCACCCCAGGUGGGCACCGGAGCCCAGUCCCUGUGAUCAGCAAGUCAUCCCCUCCUUCUUCACUGGACCAUUCCCAUCAGUGGUUGUUUUUCCUCCCAUCUUAAACAAACCUGCUCUUGAUCCCCUGUGGCUACCCCUCUGCAACAAAACUCCUCCCAGAGUUGUCUCUAUUCACUAUCAUUGGUUCUUUGCCUGUUUUCUCUCAAACUCACUCCAAUCUGGCUUUCGUCCCCAUUACUCUAUCAAAAAUAUUCCUAUGGGCCAGGCAUGCUGGCUGAUACCUGUAAGCCCAAUGCUUUGGGAGGCUGAGGAGGGCGGAUCGCAAUGUCAAAAGAUUGAGACCAUCCUGGCCAAUGUUAUGAAACCCUGUCUCUACUACAAAAAUUAGCUGGGCAUGGUGGCACAUGCCUGCAGUCUCAGCUUCUCAGGAGGCUGAGGCAGGAAAAUCGCUUGAACCCAGGAGGCAGAGGUUGCAGUGAGCCGAGAUCGCGCCACUGACUGGCAGUAGAGUGAGACUCCAUCUCAAAAACAACAACAACAAAAGUUGGUUCUUGGGUGGGACAGAAAAAUAUUGAUAUUACAAUGGUUUGUAAUUCUCCAAAGGGCCAGAGUACAUGGACAUGUAUACAUUAUAGCUGUGCUGUUAAAAUUCCAUUGUGGGCUAGAUGCGGCAGCUCACGCCUGUAAUCCCAGCAUUUUGGGAGGCUGAGGUGGGUGAAUCACCUGAAAUUAGGAGUUCAAAACCAGCCUGGGCAACGUGAUGAAACCCUGUCUCUACUAAAAUACAAAAAUUAGCC
Long non-coding RNA from Callithrix jacchus (white-tufted-ear marmoset), 1934 nucleotides. NCBI's taxonomy places the organism in Eukaryota, Metazoa, Chordata, Mammalia, Primates, Cebidae. The record is from Ensembl.